Molecule: long non-coding RNA, 2132 nt
Filed under: Homo sapiens (human)
Lineage: Eukaryota; Metazoa; Chordata; Mammalia; Primates; Hominidae
Description: HSALNT0230415
Source: RNAcentral
CACCUAAAUUCUUGAAUGUUAGAAGCACUUGAUAGGACUCUAGCUUUGUACUUGAUCACAUUUACUCAUGUGUUCCUCUGAAAAUCAUUACAUCACAGGUUAACCACCUUUUUAGUUUGCCCUAAAAUUUUCUCCUAUGCAUAAGCCCAAUGAACACGGAGAAAUGGUAAAUUUGUAUUAUGUUCAGUGAAAGGUUAUUCUUUUUAAUUCUAAAAAGGUGGGCAAGCUGAUUAUCAUUUAUAAUUUAAAGGUUAUAUUUGAUAAAGAAGGAGAUCGUCCUUCUGUGGUGAUCAUUUCUUCAAAUAGAGUAAAUUUUAAAAAUCACUUUAAGAAUCCAAUAGAGAACAACAAAGCCAUAUUGAGAUGCAGGUUUUAGGAAUUUGGUAGUAAUCCCUCACAAGGUCAGACUUGAUCUCCUGGACAAUCAGGGCAUGCUAGUCAGCUUUCAUGACUCAGCAAAGCUACAAAUUAUGUAUUUUGGCUUUUUGUGGAAAUUGCCAACCCUACAGAUAGCAAACGUCUCCUCGGUUGUCAAAAAGUAAGAGUAGUUUUUAGAAUUCUGCCUUUGGGUCUUGUAGAAUGAAAUAUUUACAAGAUUUGCUAUUUGUUAACAUUUUAGCUACUUCCUUGUUCCUUCAGUCUUGCUGCUGUGCACACCACCAUACCAGGAAUAUGAGGGAGAAAGCUAGCAAGACAGCUAAAUAAUUGGAAAUUCUGCUUGGAGGUUAGACUGUGUUGUAAAAUGGUACAGACAGUGCCUGGGCAUUUUCAUUGAUAGAAUCCUUGGAGUCGUUUGGGGUUCGUUGUCAAAUGAUGUCUGGCAGUGCAGCAGCAUGAUAGGAAGUGAAGAAGGAAUGCUUAUUUGCAGAGGAAGGAUGACUUUUUUUUGGUUUGAGGCAUGUCAAACUGAUGGUAAAACCUUUUUUAUCCCUAAGUUUAGUUUUUAAUGUUGCUGCAUAAUUAAAUUGGGUUUUUAAAAGUAGAUCAUUGGAUUUGGAGGCAAAGGACUUAAGGUCUGGGCCCCGUUUACUAGCUUUGGCUUCCCUGGACUUUUUGGAUAUUAAAGAGUCAAAUGAGAUUAUGAAUAAGCUUCUUUCUUGGGGCCUGUGGGGAGGUGUUGGGAAGUAACUCAUCUCUGAAAAUUGUUGGCAGCAGUGGAAUUGGCAUGGAAUUUUCAACAGAAGGCAGAUGUAGCUAGUUGUCUAAAGUAGAAAAUAGAAGAUGGUAAAGGUUAGAAUGGAAGUUUGUCUCGUUCCUUCUUGGGAGUGCUGUAUCAUCUAUAGUCAUCAUCCUGCCAUGUCACUUGUCAGUGUGCCUGUUUGUGUGUCUCGGUGGUCUGGUUACCAUAGUGCACUUGUACAGCAUCAAACCACAGAACCUGGUGAUGUUAGUCACGCCUCUAUAACCUGUACUUUUGUUAUUCAGAAAUAUGACUUCUAAGUGUUUUCUGGUCUAGUGCUUGGUGGUCCCUCCUCAUUAAUCUUGUUUUUCAGAAACUCUCUGGCAUCCUUGCUUGUUUAUUCUGUUUAAACUUUUAACAUCAAAUUGUUUAGCUUCCCCGCUCUGCUGCAACAACCAUCCUGAUAAUCAUAAUCAUUUUUUAUUGAAAUCACUUUCAGUUGAACUCUCCUGUACAAGAACGUGAUGUGUAUCUCUUCCUGUUCCCUUUUCUUUUUUUUUUUUUUGAGACAGUCUUGCCCUGUCACCCAGACUGGAGUGUAGUGGCGCAAUUGUAUUUUUAGUAGAGAUGGGGUUUCAUCAUGUUGCCCAGGCUGGUCUCAAACUCCUGACCUCAAGUGAUCUGCCUACCUCGGCCUCCCAAAGUGCUAGGAUUAUAGGUGUGAGCCACCGUGCCCUGCCCCACUUUUUAUUUUUGUUUUUAUUUUUGAAAUGGGGUCUCACUCUGUCACCCAGGCUGGAGUGCAGUGGCGCGAUCUCUGUUCACUGCAACCUCCACCUCCCGGGUUCAAGUGAUUCUCCUGCCUCAGCCUCCCAAGUAGCUGGGACUACAGGCUCAUGCCACCACACCCAGCUAGUUUUUGUAUUUUUAGUAGAGACAGAAUUUCGCCAUGAUGACCAGGACCUCAGGUGAUCCACCUGCCUCAGCCUCCCAAAUAGCUGGGACUACAGGC